Non-coding RNA from Kluyveromyces marxianus DMKU3-1042, 91 nucleotides. Lineage: Eukaryota; Fungi; Ascomycota; Saccharomycetes; Saccharomycetales; Saccharomycetaceae. The record is from the annotation of a RefSeq genome assembly.
AGGGGCAAUAGCCAGGGCAAUGGCGAACCCAUUGACGGUGGGUGACUUGGUCUUGAUCAACCAGCUAGUGUUCCAGUUAUCGGUGCCCCUA